Molecule: long non-coding RNA, 1395 nt
Filed under: Mus pahari (shrew mouse)
Lineage: Eukaryota; Metazoa; Chordata; Mammalia; Rodentia; Muridae
Description: lncRNA (MGP_PahariEiJ_G0003829.1)
Source: RNAcentral
GAGAUUCUGCACUGCAAGUCUUUGAGUAUGAAGCCAGAACCUGGAAAUACCUGGUCCAGACAAUGACCCCAGCCUUUGGGUCAGUGGGGUAUACAGGUGUUACUGAAGCGUUAUAUAACAUUUUCAAGAUAACAAGAACCACAGCAGAGUGUGGAGAUGCGACAUGACAUGGCUGCCUAUCUCCUGGCUUCACUAGAAGCAGCGAGCUACAGCAGGAUUCCCAUCUACACUGGAUCCAGCAUGCACUGAUCCCACACGUUUGCCGAGGUUCUGAGGUGGAAGGAGGGUGAUUGUGACCAAGGACUUCACUGGCAAAGAGCAGGUGCAGAUGUGGAGUCAGCCAGGUCAGGACAGACUUCCUGUGGUAGGCAGCACUUCCUUGGGCUUUGGGCAGCAGGAAAUGUCAUAGGAAAAUGGAGGAAGCAGAGAAAGGAAAGCUGGGCUUGGGCUUGGGUGGAAGCCCUUUGCCUGUUCCUUGCAGAGCUGGCUGGGGUAAGCGUAUGUGGCAUUUAGGCAGCUUUGGUUUGUAGACUAAUCAAUAGCCUGUGACAUUAAAAUGUUUGAGUACAAUAAGCCAUUUUCUGCUUCAGAUAGCCUAUGACUCGUCAGGAUCAGGAUCCAGCCGUGGGUUCCACACUGGUUCUUGCAGCAAAAGUUCAUGACCCAUGAUGAGGGUGGAUUGGUAUCAGGUGCCUGAGUUGAUGGCUCCACCGCCUGCUUGCUGACCACUCCCAAAGACCCCAGCCCCAGCUGAUCUUCCCAUCUCCCCUCUGCUUGCAGGGAACCAGAGAUUCCAUGUUCAUUUCUCUCACGGUGGCAAUUCCAUUCAUCCCUGGUCUUCUGUCCCCUCCUUCUCAGGGAUUUUUAUCUCUAUCAGUCAACAGUGUGUGUUCAAAACUCUAACUGUGUUUUCAGAGUCGAUGGAAUCUCUAGGUGAUGGUAGUCACUCAACACUUUCGAAAGGGCGAGUUCCUCAUGGAACCAGCCAGGCCAACCAGGAACACUCCCCAGUGGCUUCCCACACUCUCAAACUGCCAUUGGCAUCUGAGUGGUCCAUCUGACAAAGACGCCAUGAAGCCCUGCAGUGAGUUUGAGCAUGAGGAGUAAUGUCAUAGACAACACAGGAUGGAUCAGGCACAGGGCUCCUGGGCAUGGACAUGCUCAGGACUGUCUACUUGGAAAAUCCUGGCAUUCACAUCUGGGCAGCACAUCGUGGCAUAUGUCAUGGGGCUGUGGCUUCAGCAGCUGCCAGGCUCUCCUCCAACAAUGCCAAGGGCAUCCUUCAUCCCAUAGAAUGUUCACAUCAUGAUCUCCUACAUCCUCUGGAUGCAAAAGCUGAGACUCUUGAAGCCCUCAGCCAGCUCUGCGGCCACAGCACAGCCAACUCGUCCCUUG